Long non-coding RNA from Quercus lobata, 1664 nucleotides. RefSeq lists it as uncharacterized. The record is from RefSeq and is a predicted model, not a curated record. The transcript is spliced from 3 exons. Lineage: Eukaryota; Viridiplantae; Streptophyta; Magnoliopsida; Fagales; Fagaceae.
UUUUUAGGUGGGUUCAGAUUACCUUUAAACGCUUUUGCUAGGGAAUUACUUACUAGGUUAGGUUUAGCAAUGUGUCAAUUUAAUCCUAAUGCAUGGAGGUUAGUCAUCUCUAUGCAAAUUUUGUGGAGGGAAGUAUUUGGAGGGGACUGUCCUCUUACUGUGGAUGAGUUCCUCUUUUGCUAUAAGCCUUCAUAAAUCAGCCAAUCCCUCAUCUGACAGAAAGAAGACAGAGUUUAUCUUCGUCUCUGGUUUCUGAGCUAGGAACCCUGUGGACGUUGGCAGGGACACUUUUGUCCCUUAUGCUGGGGAGUUAGGGAACCUUCGUCCUAAAGCGGUUGGACGUCCUUCUUUAAGCAAGUUCCACUAUGACCGCGUCCAUAGGGCUCAUUUGCAUGUGGAUAGGAAUUUUCAUUCCUUCGUCACCCUUAGAUGUCUUGCCAAGUGGGGACUUGGUCCUGAACCAUCCAACGAAGCUAUUGCACACGAGUUUAUAGUUCGCAGACAUAAGUUUACACUUAGCACAAAUAUAAGUUAUACUUGUCUGGCUUUAUUUUAUUUUAAUUUUCAUUCAAUCACUUUUCAGGGAUGGCAACUAUGAAAGAAAAUAAGGGAAAGGAUAUUGUGGAAAAGGGAAGCUGUCUCGAGGCCCAAUCCUAAGCUCGUCCAUCCGCUAGGGACAAAAGAAAAGCUUUGUCCAAAAACCUUGACCUAGGAAAUCUUCCCAGUCGUCGAGGGAAAAAGACUAAGCAUGGAUUGUCCAAGGCAGGGGUCGUCUAGCCUAAUCCUCCCACGUCUCAACCGUCCGUCCAAAUUUUUGACAUGGACUCGUCUACUCCAAUUGAGUUCACUCCGUCCAAAACUCCUCUGUUGAAAACCAUUGUGCUUGCUUCGUCCCAGCCUUCUUAAUGGAUUCCCAUGAAUCUUAUUGAAAAUGAAGACUUAGCUUGGGAACGUUUUGAGAAGGCUGUGUCUGACGAGGACAUAGCUGUGUGUUAUGACAUGUCCUUGAAGGACUUUGAACAUUUUGGAGUUCAUCAUCUUUUUAAGUGAAUGUCAAAAUUUAUUACAGCAUCCAGGCAGGCCACUAAAUUGGAUAGGACGAGGAUCUUUGUUAGUGACGAGGGUUCAGGAGGUGAAAGACGAGUGCAAGAAGUGGGUUGAGGUGGCUGCUAAGGCCAAGGAAGAAGUUAAGGGCCUGCAAAACCAUAUUGAGGAAUUGAAGACUGAUGUCAUAGAGAAGGAUACUCUUCUUGAUCACCUUCGAAAGAGGAAUGACGAGUUGAGUAUCUUUCUUGAAAAAGCAAGGGAGACGUGGUUGCAAAAUUCAAGGCGUCCAAGCAAUACUCUAAUUUGCUGGAUACCAAUUAUGCAGCCGGGUUCGAAGAUUUCAAGAUGGACGAUGUGGAGAAAUUCCCUGAAAUUGACUUCAGCUCCAUCAAACUCAACCUUGGUGGUGUUGCUACAAGCUCCCUCCUCCAGAUGAGUUCAGAAGACAUCAAUAUAAACGACAAUGCCAAUACCCAGCCAUCUCAGGAUGACCCCAAUGCUGACGCCCCUCCUGCUUGAAGCGAGGCUUCAAUAUUUUGCUUAUCCUUGUAUUUUUCUUUUUCUUUUUGUUUUUAUUUGGUCUGUUGUUUUGGACCUUUUCAUGUAACUCAAGUACA